Molecule: long non-coding RNA, 346 nt
Filed under: Mytilus galloprovincialis (Mediterranean mussel)
Lineage: Eukaryota; Metazoa; Mollusca; Bivalvia; Mytilida; Mytilidae
Source: RNAcentral
CUCAGAAGCUGAAAACAGCUAAAUGUCUAUGAGAGUUUGUGCAUGCAGCAGGAUUGCAAAACACAUACAAAGUACUGUAAAUACAGAAAUUAUUGUAUGCAUUUAUUAUUGCCGUUUCUCAAUAUGGCAGAUCCAAAUGCAAAGCUGCAUAAAAAUACAUUAGUCAAAUUUUAGAAUGUGAGUCGUAUUAUUGUAAUACUCACCCAGUCACAUUAUUUGAAGUAAUAAAAACCUUUAUUAAAUGAUAUGAGCAAAUAAGCCCUAAUACGGAUAAAUCAGCAUGUGCAAUACUAAAAACGUUCCACUGUCGAUAUAAAUCAAGAUUUAAUAUUGCUCUUCGAACAGG